ACGGCAUAGAGAUGGUUCCGAUCGGUGCUAGAGCCAGAAGAAGAAGUAGCACCUUUUAGGGUAGAAGUUGAUGCACAACAAAAAGAAUCUUAUUUUCCCCAGAAGCAACCCUAAAAGGACAAUCUCUCUACAUAUGACCAAUCUGACCAUAUUUAAAGAACUUGUUCCUCCCUUCUUCAUAAAUACCACGAUGCACCUGACCACA
Molecule: long non-coding RNA, 205 nt
Filed under: Capsicum annuum
Lineage: Eukaryota; Viridiplantae; Streptophyta; Magnoliopsida; Solanales; Solanaceae
Description: long non-coding RNA (CANN_LNC014538)
Source: RNAcentral